UAACGCCUACGGGGCGCAGCAGUGGGGAAUAUUGGGCGAUGGAGGAAACUCUUACCCAGCAAUGCCGCGUGAGUGAAGAAGGUCUUCGGAUUGUAAAGCUCUUUGAUUGGGGAUGAAUAAAUGACGGUACCCAAAGAACAAGCCCCGGCUAACUACGUGCCAGCAGCCGCGGUAAUACGUAGGGGGCAAGCGUUGUCCGGAAUGACUGGGCGUAAAGGGUGUGUAGGCGGUUUAUUAAGUUAGAAGUGAAAUACCUAGGGCUUAACCCAGGUGCUGCUUCUAAAACUGAUAGACUUUAGUG
RNAcentral lists this ribosomal RNA (301 nucleotides) under uncultured bacterium. RNAcentral describes it as "bacterial SSU rRNA". It matches the Rfam family "Bacterial small subunit ribosomal RNA", at positions 333 to 648 of the family's 1533-position model. The record is from RNAcentral.